Molecule: ribosomal RNA, 422 nt
Filed under: uncultured bacterium
Lineage: Bacteria
Description: bacterial SSU rRNA
Rfam family: Bacterial small subunit ribosomal RNA
Source: RNAcentral
UGAGGAAUAUUGGGCAAUGCCCGCAAGGGUGACCCAGCAACGCCGCGUGGAGGAUGAAUGUCGUAAGAUUGUAAACUCCUGUUAGAGGGGAAGAAUAGUACCGGUUGGACCGGUAUAUGACUGUACCCCAAGAGAAAGCCCCGCUUAACUACGUCCCAGCACCCGCGGUAAAACGUAGGGGCAAAGCGUUGACCGGAUUAACGGGGUGUAAAGGGCGCGCAGGCGGGAUAAAAAGUCAGUGGUGAAAUCCUACAGCUUAACUGUAGAACUGCCUUUGAUACUUUUAUUCUUGAGUUCGGGAGAGAGAGACGGAAUUCCAGGUGUAGUGGUGAAAUACGUAGAUAUCUGGAAGAACACCAGUUGCGAAGGCGGUCUCUUGGUCCGACACUGACGCUGAGGCGCGAAAGCGUGGGGAGCAAACA